This 407-nucleotide ribosomal RNA is filed under the name uncultured bacterium. RNAcentral's name for it is "partial 16S ribosomal RNA". It matches the Rfam family "Bacterial small subunit ribosomal RNA", at positions 30 to 526 of the family's 1533-position model. The record is from RNAcentral.
AUUGAACGCUGGCGGCAGGCCUAACACAUGCAAGUCGAGCGGAGCGGCGGACGGGUGAGUAAUGCCUAGGAAUCUGCCUGGUAGUGGGGGAUAACGUCCGGAAACGGGCGCUAAUACCGCAUACUAUCAGAUGAGCCUAGGUCGGAUUAGCUCGUUGGUGGGGUAAAGGCCUACCAAGGCGACGAUCCGUAACUGGUCUGAGAGGAUGAUCAGUCACAGUGGAACUGAAACAGGGUCCAGCAUGCUACGGGGGGCAGCAGUGGGGAAUAUUGGACAAAGGGCAAAAGCCUGAUACAGCGAUGCCGCGUGUGUGAAGAAGGUCUUCGGAUUGUGAAGCACUUUAAGUUGAGAGGCGUUACCAACAGAAUAAGCACCGGGUAACUUAGUGCCAGCCGCCGCGGUAAUUC